RNAcentral lists this ribosomal RNA (1116 nucleotides) under Klebsiella pneumoniae. Its description in RNAcentral is "bacterial SSU rRNA". It matches the Rfam family "Bacterial small subunit ribosomal RNA", at positions 54 to 1163 of the family's 1533-position model. The record is from RNAcentral. Lineage: Bacteria; Pseudomonadati; Pseudomonadota; Gammaproteobacteria; Enterobacterales; Enterobacteriaceae.
CAUGCAGUCGAGCGGUAGCACAGAGAGCUUGCUCUCGGGUGACGAGCGGCGGACGGGUGAGUAAUGUCUGGGAAACUGCCUGAUGGAGGGGGAUAACUACUGGAAACGGUAGCUAAUACCGCAUAACGUCGCAAGACCAAAGUGGGGGACCUUCGGGCCUCAUGCCAUCAGAUGUGCCCAGAUGGGAUUAGCUAGUAGGUGGGGUAACGGCUCACCUAGGCGACGAUCCCUAGCUGGUCUGAGAGGAUGACCAGCCACACUGGAACUGAGACACGGUCCAGACUCCUACGGGAGGCAGCAGUGGGGAAUAUUGCACAAUGGGCGCAAGCCUGAUGCAGCCAUGCCGCGUGUGUGAAGAAGGCCUUCGGGUUGUAAAGCACUUUCAGCGGGGAGGAAGGCGAUAAGGUUAAUAACCUUGUCGAUUGACGUUACCCGCAGAAGAAGCACCGGCUAACUCCGUGCCAGCAGCCGCGGUAAUACGGAGGGUGCAAGCGUUAAUCGGAAUUACUGGGCGUAAAGCGCACGCAGGCGGUCUGUCAAGUCGGAUGUGAAAUCCCCGGGCUCAACCUGGGAACUGCAUUCGAAACUGGCAGGCUAGAGUCUUGUAGAGGGGGGUAGAAUUCCAGGUGUAGCGGUGAAAUGCGUAGAGAUCUGGAGGAAUACCGGUGGCGAAGGCGGCCCCCUGGACAAAGACUGACGCUCAGGUGCGAAAGCGUGGGGAGCAAACAGGAUUAGAUACCCUGGUAGUCCACGCCGUAAACGAUGUCGAUUUGGAGGUUGUGCCCUUGAGGCGUGGCUUCCGGAGCUAACGCGUUAAAUCGACCGCCUGGGGAGUACGGCCGCAAGGUUAAAACUCAAAUGAAUUGACGGGGGCCCGCACAAGCGGUGGAGCAUGUGGUUUAAUUCGAUGCAACGCGAAGAACCUUACCUGGUCUUGACAUCCACAGAACUUAGCAGAGAUGCUUUGGUGCCUUCGGGAACUGUGAGACAGGUGCUGCAUGGCUGUCGUCAGCUCGUGUUGUGAAAUGUUGGUUUAAGUCCCGCAACGAGCGCAACUCAUAUCGUUGGUGGCAAGCCGCUCAGCCGGCAACUCCAAGGAGACUGCAAGUGAUAAAC